GAUGAACGCUGGCGGCGUGCCUAAUACAUGCAAGUCGAGCGAACGGACGAGAAGCUUGCUUCUCUGAUGUUAGCGGCGGACGGGUGAGUAACACGUGGAUAACCUACCUAUAAGACUGGGAUAACUUCGGGAAACCGGAGCUAAUACCGGAUAAUAUUUUGAACCGCAUGGUUCAAAAGUGAAAGACGGUCUUGCUGUCACUUAUAGAUGGAUCCGCGCUGCAUUAGCUAGUUGGUAAGGUAACGGCUUACCAAGGCAACGAUGCAUAGCCGACCGGAGAGGGGUGUCCCCCCCCCUGGAGCUUCACCAGCCCCCGUGCCCCUGGGGGAGGCCGCAGCAGGCGUCCUCCCGGAAUGGGCGAAGUCCUAAGGGAACAGGGCCGCGUGGGGUGUGAAGUUCUCGGGUUGGGAAACCUCUUUUUUGGGGGAAGAACAAGUGUGAAAGACCCUGUACCCUUCGUGCCGGUACCUAGUAAAAAAGCCCCGGCUAACUCCGUG
RNAcentral lists this ribosomal RNA (497 nucleotides) under uncultured bacterium. RNAcentral's name for it is "partial 16S ribosomal RNA". It matches the Rfam family "Bacterial small subunit ribosomal RNA", at positions 28 to 507 of the family's 1533-position model. The record is from RNAcentral.